AUUGAGCAAAAAAAAAUAUCUAAGCACUAAGACUAUAAAGUUAAAACUUAAAGAACAUGGCGACGGUAAUUAUUUAGGGGAACUUACCAGGUAAAUGAUAACCCACAAGGAACCGUGCUAAACCUAAAAGUAUGUAUAUCGCCGUCGUUGAACUUACCUGAAGUAAAUUCAAUCAGUAUUUCUACUAGAGGACAGGUCAUGGUGCAGCUUAUGGUUUAGCCUUGGCGAGUUACAGUAUAUUUUUUUUUCAGACUUCAUUUCUAAUGAAAUUUAGGAAGACGGACUUAAAAGUAACUAAUAAAAGAAAUAUUAAUUGAAUAUUUUUUACCGUGU
RNAcentral lists this ribosomal RNA (333 nucleotides) under Siphonaria sp. UF 367730. Its description in RNAcentral is "partial 12S ribosomal RNA". Lineage: Eukaryota; Metazoa; Mollusca; Gastropoda; Siphonariida; Siphonariidae. The record is from RNAcentral.